RNAcentral lists this microRNA precursor (168 nucleotides) under Triticum aestivum (bread wheat). RNAcentral's name for it is "MIR2118 microRNA precursor family". It matches the Rfam family "MIR2118 microRNA precursor family". The record is from Rfam by way of RNAcentral. Lineage: Eukaryota; Viridiplantae; Streptophyta; Magnoliopsida; Poales; Poaceae.
GCCUGGAAGAGGAAGAAUAGAUGGUCUUAGAGUAGUGGGAAUGGGAACAUGGAGGAAAGCCUAAAUUGCUUGGUUUUAACCUCUAGUGUUGGAGUUUAGAAUUUGGUAUGGUGUUUUACGAUGCCUCCCAUUCCUAUUCUAAAGCAUUCCUUGUUCUUUCUUUUUUGG